Molecule: ribosomal RNA, 518 nt
Filed under: Analetris eximia
Lineage: Eukaryota; Metazoa; Arthropoda; Insecta; Ephemeroptera; Acanthametropodidae
Description: partial 16S ribosomal RNA
Rfam family: Bacterial large subunit ribosomal RNA
Source: RNAcentral
AUCGCCUUUAGAUUUUAUAAAAGGUCUAACCUGCCCACUGAGUAUUGAAUGGCCGCGGUAUUUUGACCGUGCAAAGGUAGCAUAAUCAUUAGUCUUCUAAUUAAAGGCUGGUAUGAAUGGUUGAACGAAGUGUUAGCUGUCUCAUUUAAAAUUAAUUUAAAAUUUAACUUUUUAGUUAAAAGGCUAAAAUGUUGUUGGAGGACGAGAAGACCCUAUAGAGCUUUAUAUUUGUGCAAUUUAAUUGGUUUAGAAGAAUUAUAAUUUAAGAUAAAAAAUAUUUUGUUGGGGUGACAGAAAAAUAAAAUAAACUUUCUUUUAAAAUGAACAUUAAUUUAUGAUUAAAUGAUCCAUUAUUAUUGAUUAAAAGACUAAGUUACCUUAGGGAUAACAGCGUAAUCUUUUUUGAGAGUUCAUAUCGACAAGAAGGAUUGCGACCUCGAUGUUGGAUUAAGAGUAAAUUUUAGGUGCAAAAGUUUAAAAUUUUGGUCUGUUCGACCAUUAAAUUCUUACAUGAUCUG